GACGAACGCUGGCGGCGUGCUUAACACAUGCAAGUCGUACGGUAAGGCCCUUUCGGGGGUACACGAGUGGCGAACGGGUGAGUAACACGUGAGUAACCUGCCCACAACUUUGGGAUAACGUUAGGAAACUGGUGCUAAUACUGGAUAUGUGCUCCUGCUGCAUGGUGGGGGUUGGAAAGCUCCGGCGGUUGUGGAUGGACUCGCGGCCUAUCAGCUUGUUGGUGGGGUAGUGGCCUACCAAGGCGGCGACGGGUAGCCGGCCUGAGAGGGUGACCGGCCACAUUCGGACUGAGAUACGGCCCAGACUCCUACGGGAGGCAGCAGUGGGGAAUAUUGCACAAUGGGCGCAAGCCUGAUGCAGCAACGCCGCGUGCGGGAUGACGGCCUUCGGGUUGUAAACCGCUUUCAGCAGGGACGAAGCUUUUUGUGACGGUACCUGCAGAAGAAGCACCGGCUAACUACGUG
Molecule: ribosomal RNA, 465 nt
Filed under: uncultured bacterium
Lineage: Bacteria
Description: partial 16S ribosomal RNA
Rfam family: Bacterial small subunit ribosomal RNA
Source: RNAcentral